Molecule: non-coding RNA, 802 nt
Filed under: Aquatica sp. a XF-2022
Lineage: Eukaryota; Metazoa; Arthropoda; Insecta; Coleoptera; Lampyridae
Source: RNAcentral
UAAGUAGUUAUUAUUAUUAUUAUUUUAUAUAAUUAUUAUAUUCAGUUUUAAAUAAAGUUUUAUUUUGGCUUGAAAUUUUAAUUUAUUAUUAUUUUAUAUGUAAAAAUUUGAUUAAAAAUUUUUUUAUUGCAGUUUUUAAUAUUAAAAAAUUAUUUAGGUAAGUUUUAGUAAUUAAUUAUAGAUUUAAUAAAAUUUGUGCCAGCAAUUGCGGUUAUACAAAUGAUUCAAUUAAAAUUUAUUGGUUAAUAAUUAAUUUAUUUUAUAGGAAAUUUAUUAUUGAAAUUUUUAGGUGAAAUUUAAAUUUUAAUAUAUUAUUAUUAUUAUUAUUUGAAGUUAUUAAAAUUAGAAUUAAACUAGGAUUAGAUACCCUAUUAUUAUAAUUGUAAAUUUAUAUGCUUGAUUAGUAUUAGUUAUUUUCUUAAAAAUUAAAAAAUUUGGCGGUAUUUUAGUCUAUUCAGAGGAACCUGUUCUGUAAUUGAUAGUCCACGAUUAGUUUUACUUUUCUUUUAUAUUUGUAUAUCGUUGUUUUUGAAUAUUUUAUAAGAAUUAGAAUUUUCAAUAAGUAUAUUAUAGUUUAUUUCAGAUCAAGGUGCAGUUUAUAGGAAAGAAGAAAUGGGUUACAUUAAAUUUAUUUUUGGUUUAUAAUUUUAAUAAGUUUUAUUAAAUUGGAUUUGAUAGUAAUAAUAUAUAUAUAUAUAUUGUGAUUUUAGCUCUAAAAUGUGUACAUAUUGCCCGUCGCUCUCAUUUAUUUUAGAUAAGUCGUAACAAAGUAGAUUUACUGGAAAGUGUAUCUAGGAUUAUU